This 685-nucleotide ribosomal RNA is filed under the name uncultured Lachnospiraceae bacterium. RNAcentral describes it as "bacterial SSU rRNA". It matches the Rfam family "Bacterial small subunit ribosomal RNA", at positions 60 to 743 of the family's 1533-position model. The record is from RNAcentral. Lineage: Bacteria; Bacillati; Bacillota; Clostridia; Lachnospirales; Lachnospiraceae.
AGUCGAACGAAGCACUUCAAUCGAUUUCUUCGGAAUGAAGUUUUAGUGACUGAGUGGCGGACGGGUGAGUAACGCGUGGGUAACCUGCCUCACACAGGGGGAUAACAGUUGGAAACGGCUGCUAAUACCGCAUAAGCGCACAGUACCGCAUGGUACGGUGUGAAAAACUCCGGUGGUGUGAGAUGGACCCGCGUCUGAUUAGCUAGUUGGCAGGGCAGCGGCCUACCAAGGCGACGAUCAGUAGCCGACCUGAGAGGGUGACCGGCCACAUUGGGACUGAGACACGGCCCAAACUCCUACGGGAGGCAGCAGUGGGGAAUAUUGCACAAUGGGGGAAACCCUGAUGCAGCGACGCCGCGUGAGCGAAGAAGUAUUUCGGUAUGUAAAGCUCUAUCAGCAGGGAAGAAGAAAUGACGGUACCUGACUAAGAAGCACCGGCUAAAUACGUGCCAGCAGCCGCGGUAAUACGUAUGGUGCAAGCGUUAUCCGGAUUUACUGGGUGUAAAGGGAGCGCAGGCGGAAGGCUAAGUCUGAUGUGAAAGCCCGGGGCUCAACCCCGGUACUGCAUUGGAAACUGGUCAUCUAGAGUGUCGGAGGGGUAAGUGGAAUUCCUAGUGUAGCGGUGAAAUGCGUAGAUAUUAGGAGGAACACCAGUGGCGAAGGCGGCUUACUGGACGAUAACUGA